This is a long non-coding RNA of Glycine soja, 696 nucleotides long. RefSeq lists it as uncharacterized. NCBI's taxonomy places the organism in Eukaryota, Viridiplantae, Streptophyta, Magnoliopsida, Fabales, Fabaceae. The record is from RefSeq and is a predicted model, not a curated record. The transcript is spliced from 2 exons.
UAUAAAUAAGUCUUGUAUUCAUUUUUUAAAAGACAGAAUUACAAUAAUAUUCAAAUUAUUAUCUUUCAAGUUGGUAUCAGAGCCUCCAAUCCAAGGGGAUCUGCUUUUGCAUUCCUCCAGGCAGCCUUCAUUGCUAUAGUUGAUACUGUUUCAGUGCCUAGUCACUGCGUAUACCACUGGUCGUCGUUCGAUGUCGUCCUCCACCGUCAGCCACCUUCCGCCAUCGUCAUUGGAACGUCUAUGAACCUUUAUGGACCCUUUCAGUAAGACAUCUAGCUCUUGUUCCCUAACCAUUGCUGGAUCUUGCCAUGGGGAGAACGAUUGGAAUUACUAAAGAGCAGGGCGGGUUAUACUACUUGUAGCAUGUGGACAAUAAAGAGUGUACCAGACAGAAGGCUCUCACUUCUAAUCAUCAGACAAGUUCAGAACCUUGCUCAUCCUCCCAAAUAUGGCUUCAGCACAGGCAUCUGGGUCAUCCUCCGUUUAGUGUCCUUAAGUCUUUAUUUCCUUUUUUGUUUACAAAAAGGUCAGUCGAGUCUUUUCAUUGUGAUGUUUGUGAGUUUGCUAAACACCAUCGAACAACUUUUCUUCCCAGUACUAAUAAAAGUUCUAAACCUUUUGAUCUUGUUCAUUCGGAUGUGUGGGGAUCUACACCUAUCAAUAAUAUUUCUAGUACAAAGUGGUUUGUUUCUUUUA